CUCCGGGGAUAACAGGCUGAUACCGCCCAAGAGUUCAUAUCGACGGCGGUGUUUGGCACCUCGAUGUCGGCUCAUCACAUCCUGGGGCUGAAGUCGGUCCCAAGGGUAUGGCUGUUCGCCAUUUAAAGUGGUACGCGAGCUGGGUUUAGAACGUCGUGAGACAGUUCGGUCCCUAUCUGCCGUGGGCGUUGGAAGAUUGAAGGGGGCUGCUCCUAGUACGAGAGGACCGGAG
This 232-nucleotide ribosomal RNA is filed under the name Vibrio cholerae. RNAcentral describes it as "partial 23S ribosomal RNA". It matches the Rfam family "Bacterial large subunit ribosomal RNA", at positions 2466 to 2697 of the family's 2925-position model. The record is from RNAcentral. Lineage: Bacteria; Pseudomonadati; Pseudomonadota; Gammaproteobacteria; Vibrionales; Vibrionaceae.